GAUGAACGCUGGCGGUGUGCCUAACACAUGCAAGUCGAGCGAGAACCGAUUAAGGGGUAGCCCUCGGUCGGGGAGAGCGGCGAACGGGUGAGUAACACGUGGGUAACCUGCCCCAGACACUGGGAUAACACCGGGAAACCGGUGCUAAUACCGGAUAUUCUCGGCGGAUCGCAUGACCUGCCGAGGAAAGCUCCGACGGUCUGGGAUGGGCCCGCGGCCUAUCAGCUUGUUGGUGGGGUAACGGCCUACCAAGGCUCCGACGUGUAGCUGGCGUGAGAGCGUGGCCAGCCACACUGGGACUGAGACACGGCCCAGACUCCUACGGGAGGCAGCAGUGGGGAAUAUUGCGCUAAUGCGCGAAAGCGUGACGCAGCGACACCGCGUGGGGAUGAAUGCCUUCGGGUUGUAAACCCCUUUCGACAGGGAAGAAGCUAACGUGACGGUACCUGUAGAAG
Molecule: ribosomal RNA, 455 nt
Filed under: uncultured bacterium
Lineage: Bacteria
Description: bacterial SSU rRNA
Rfam family: Bacterial small subunit ribosomal RNA
Source: RNAcentral